AUUGAACGCUUUCUGAAUGCUUUACACAUGCAAGUCGAACGGCAGCACGGGGGCAACCCUGGUGGCGAGUGGCGAACGGGUGAGUAAUACAUCGGAACGUGCCCGGUCGUGGGGGAUAACGUAGCGAAAGUUACGCUAAUACCGCAUACGAUCUGAGGAUGAAAGCGGGGGACCUUCGGGCCUCGCGCGAUCGGAGCGGCCGAUGUCAGAUUAGGUAGUUGGUGGGGUAAAGGCCUACCAAGCCGACGAUCUGUAGCUGGUCUGAGAGGACGACCAGCCACACUGGGACUGAGACACGGCCCAGACUCCUACGGGAGGCAGCAGUGGGGAAUUUUGGACAAUGGGCGCAAGCCUGAUCCAGCCAUUCCGCGUGCAGGACGAAGGCCUUCGGGUUGUAAACUGCUUUUGUAUGGAACGAAAAGGCUCUGGCUAAUACCUGGGGCUCAUGACGGUACCGUAAGAAUAAGCACCGGCUAACUACGUG
This 484-nucleotide ribosomal RNA is filed under the name uncultured bacterium. RNAcentral's name for it is "partial 16S ribosomal RNA". It matches the Rfam family "Bacterial small subunit ribosomal RNA", at positions 30 to 507 of the family's 1533-position model. The record is from RNAcentral.